CACAGCAAAAACUUUGGAAAUUUAAACGGCAUGUAAAUCAUGCUGGAUGUGAAUUUACAUGAGUUGAAACACAAAUUUAAUUUAAAAUUGAGUUUAAAUCAAUGCACAUAGUUUGAGCACGAAAAAACAUAGAAAACUCAAUGCUAUCCACAAAAAUGCAUGUAUUUGCAUUUAUAUAUCAUUUGAUAAAGCUACAAAUUUCAACCGACGUGUAAAAUCACGAGAACGUUUGGUAGUGGAAGAAAACAUGGCCGGCAAAAAGACUGCGUGCUGGAAAACAGGUUGUGGUUUAUGAUAAAAUUGUGUUUCGCCGCUUCGAUAAUUGGAUUUUUUCAUCCGCUGAUCUGCAGGGAUCCCGUGUGUUUAUUUCCAACAGCUCGCACUCCAUUUGAUUACUCCCGUCGUCGUCGUCGUCGUCCUCGUCGUCGUCCACCGCUUCAGCAGCAGAAACCGUGAUCGCAGUCAAAAAUAGCAUCAAACAUACAAUGAGUGAAACAGUGUAACAGUGAUGAUAUUACUUUUCCAGAAAUAAAUCAGGUGUAUUGAUCUUUGGCAUGA
Long non-coding RNA from Aedes albopictus (Asian tiger mosquito), 558 nucleotides. RefSeq lists it as uncharacterized. The transcript has 2 exons. Lineage: Eukaryota; Metazoa; Arthropoda; Insecta; Diptera; Culicidae. The record is from RefSeq and is a predicted model, not a curated record.